RNAcentral lists this long non-coding RNA (1522 nucleotides) under Phasianus colchicus (ring-necked pheasant). RNAcentral's name for it is "lncRNA (ENSPCLG00000019446.1)". Lineage: Eukaryota; Metazoa; Chordata; Aves; Galliformes; Phasianidae. The record is from RNAcentral.
CAACAGCUCUAGCAGUACUAAUAGUGCCAGUACAUCAAUGAUCAAUUUGCAAACAAAUCUUUCUGAUGCUGAGGUUAAAAUGACUUCCUUUCAGAAGACUUAGACUUUCACUUCAUUUUAAAAUGAAAAAAGAACUUCUUUUCUUUUGUAACAUCUGCCUCAUUUUUCCUCUUUGUUGGUUUUUUUUUCUUAUUUAUUUUAUUUAGUAGAAUAGAUACUUAAUCAUAGAAUGGCUUGAACUGGAAGAGACCUCAAAGUACCGCCUGACACAACACUUUUUUCCCCUCUGAAGAUCCCCAGUUGCUGUAGCAUCUCUCCAAGGCUAUAACGGACAUUAAUGUUUCUGUUUCGUGUUUAUAGAACGAAGAAGGACAUCUUGUAAAGGCACCUUUUCAUGUGCGGAGAGACCAUAAAAAUGAGACAAGAAGUAGAUGGCUUUUCCAGCCAGAAGACUCAGCCACUGAAAUUUAAGACCUAAUUAGAUCUGUCAAAGCACCUUGGAAGCAUUAAACCACUAAAGUACUUAAGCUGAUGACUCAUGUAAAUCAUACUCUACCUUUGCAAUAAGGUCUCACCUACACCACAAAUACAACAUGGGAAAGGGAUCUGUUUACAACAGGGUUACUCCACCAGAACGAGACUCCAGAAUGUUAAAGAGAAUCACAAAUGCACAUGGAAAAUGCUACACUAACCAUCAAAUUUCUGCUCCCAGAGACCUCUGUUUACUGAACUGCACCCAGACCCCACGAGCUCGGAAUACGCCAACAUAAGUGUGCAGGUCAAACCAAGAGGUUUCGUCCCAGAAGAACAAACUUCUGGCAAAAGGCAUGGAUUAAGGAAAAAAGCUGAAGUUGGCCAGAAAUGGUGGGUAAGUACAGCCAGGCAUAGUGAUAGAGAAAGAUAAGUACUCAGCAGAUGAUUGAGCUGUAUGUUUGUCCCGUUGGAGUAUGAUGGCACAGCUGCUGAGAGAAGCUUGAAGCCUCCUUUGCCCUUUAAGCACAUCUUCCCAUGAAGAACACCAAGAUUUUCUUACACCUUUAGGUCAUUCCUGUGUUUUGGUGCUCACUCUCCUUGUGUGAAAGGACCCCAAACCAUUUAUGCUCCAACUCCCAUUGGGACAAAGCUCCAAAAAGUGUGAUAAUCCUCUGUCACACACAAUACCCGUGCCUGAAAAGGCACUACAUCUAAGGCCACCUGAGUGAUUUGGGUUUGAAGUUUCAGCCAGGGCUGAUAUAGGAGCACAACACCUUGCCACUGUAGUAAACUGUGAGCAAAUCUCUCUGCUUAUUCCCCCCAGUCCUUCGCUCUAACUUGUUCUUAUUUAACUCAAAUAGCCUGAGAGCAUCCCCUGCCCUGCGGGCUACAGCCAGUCACAUCACUCUGCUCUUUCUCUCCCUGCUGCCAGACCUGCUUUAAGCCCACUUUGUACCAGGUGUGUUAUCUAAAUUAGAGACCCUCCCACUUAAAUUAGUAACAAACAAAACCUAAUUGCCUUGUAAAUAAACACCCUCCCUCCCAGACA